ACCCGAAACCGGCGCGAUCUAUCCAUGGCCAGGUUGAAGAUUAGGUAGUACUAAUUGGAGUACCGAACCCAAUACUGUUGCAAAAGUAUGGGAUGAGCUGUGGAUCGGAGUGAAAUGCUAAUCAAGCACGGAGAUAGCUGGUUCUCCCCGAAAACUAUUUAGGUAGUGCCUCGUGUUUAACUCAUUGGGGUAUAGCACUGUUUCGACAAUGGGGGUUUUACGACCUAACUGACUCGAUG
RNAcentral lists this ribosomal RNA (239 nucleotides) under Francisella tularensis subsp. holarctica. Its description in RNAcentral is "partial 23S ribosomal RNA". It matches the Rfam family "Bacterial large subunit ribosomal RNA", at positions 713 to 949 of the family's 2925-position model. The record is from RNAcentral. Lineage: Bacteria; Pseudomonadati; Pseudomonadota; Gammaproteobacteria; Thiotrichales; Francisellaceae.